This 253-nucleotide transfer-messenger RNA is filed under the name Chloroflexota bacterium. It matches the Rfam family "transfer-messenger RNA", at positions 46 to 318 of the family's 374-position model. From Rfam's summary of the family: Bacterial tmRNA, also known as 10Sa RNA or SsrA, is named for its dual tRNA and mRNA-like properties. The record is from RNAcentral. Lineage: Bacteria; Bacillati; Chloroflexota.
CGUGCCGAGGCGCCGCGCCCUCGUUAAUCCCGCGGCAAACCUGCAACUGGCGAAGAGGAAUUCGCCCUCGCCGCUUAAGCGGUGACGUCGGUCUCCAGCCUCCCUCGGACGGGCGGAUACCGGCGACGUGCAGUCCGGGUGCUCGGGCCGGGUCGCCGGGACCGGUCCGCCAAGACUCCUCCGGCUGGCGCGCGCCCUGGCCUGUCGGUCGGCAGGGGCGCGGGCGAGACCUCAAGGAACGACUAGGCACGGA